Ribosomal RNA from Otolemur garnettii (small-eared galago), 119 nucleotides. NCBI's taxonomy places the organism in Eukaryota, Metazoa, Chordata, Mammalia, Primates, Galagidae. The record is from Ensembl.
GUCUACGGCCAUGCCACCCUGAACAUACCCCAUCUCAUCUGAUCUCGGAAGCUAAGCAGGGUCGGGCUUGGUUAGUACUUGGAUGGGAGAUUACACUCUGAGGUACUGGGUUUUAGGAC